RNAcentral lists this ribosomal RNA (690 nucleotides) under uncultured bacterium. RNAcentral describes it as "bacterial SSU rRNA". It matches the Rfam family "Bacterial small subunit ribosomal RNA", at positions 8 to 693 of the family's 1533-position model. The record is from RNAcentral.
AGAGUUUGAUCCUGGCUCAGAUUGAACGCUGGCGGCAGGCCUAACACAUGCAAGUCGAGCGGAUGAGAAGAGCUUGCUCUUCGAUUCAGCGGCGGACGGGUGAGUAAUACCUAGGAAUCUGCCUGGUAGUGGGGGACAACGUUUCGAAAGGAACGCUAAUACCGCAUACGUCCUACGGGAGAAAGCAGGGGACCUUCGGGCCUUGCGCUAUCAGAUGAGCCUAGGUCGGAUUAGCUAGUUGGUGAGGUAAUGGCUCACCAAGGCUACGAUCCGUAACUGGUCUGAGAGGAUGAUCAGUCACACUGGAACUGAGACACGGUCCAGACUCCUACGGGAGGCAGCAGUGGGGAAUAUUGGACAAUGGGCGAAAGCCUGAUCCAGCCAUGCCGCGUGUGUGAAGAAGGUCUUCGGAUUGUAAAGCACUUUAAGUUGGGAGGAAGGGCAGUAAGCGAAUACCUUGCUGUUUUGACGUUACCGACAGAAUAAGCACCGGCUAACUCUGUGCCAGCAGCCGCGGUAAUACAGAGGGUGCAAGCGUUAAUCGGAAUUACUGGGCGUAAAGCGCGCGUAGGUGGUUCGUUAAGUUGGAUGUGAAAUCCCCGGGCUCAACCUGGGAACUGCAUCCAAAACUGGCGAGCUAGAGUAGGGCAGAGGGUGGUGGAAUUUCCUGUGUAGCGGUGAAAUGCGUAG